GAAACCAUGGGCGAGUCUGUUGCUAUGGGGCGUUCUAUUGAGCUUCGCCUCUUGGUGUCCAUGCUCUUUGAUUUUAUUCCCUCUCGUUGCACAGUCCACAUAUUGUGUGAAGUUGGUCAGGACAGGAGAGAGAGAGAUAGAGACAUGAUUUAAGUCCCCACUGAUCAGGAUAAGAGCGCUCGGGUGCGGCAUCUGUAGUCCUGCGAUCACUGAGUGGAUGACGUCACUCGCGCUGGCUGCAACAGCUGAUGGGGGAAUGUAAACAACUACCAUGAUGGCGCGUGAAAACUCCCGCAGUAGAAAGGGCGGACUGGCCAUCUGGAGGUUCUGGAGAAUCACAGAACGGCCGGUACUCCAGGACGGAAGAUGAGGGAAGCGCAUACGUCACGCAUAUCGAGCAGCCGUGUGCAGCAGGCAGUCACCUGCAUUGUAUUGUUCAGCAGAGAGACAUCUGGAUUGUGUCGUUUAUUUCUCAAAGCAGGGCAUCGUGCAUUUUCUGGUAUAUCUGAACAAAGUCAUCCAGUCUCAUCAGCCUCCUUCUCUGGAACCGGACUCUCUUCAGAUCCCAUUGACUCCUCUCCAUGAUGCCCUGCAUUCAGUUAUCUUGUGUGAAGUUCUGAAAAGAUGAAUUACAUUUCUUAUCUGUUGACAUUUUCAAGAAAAUUUUGAAUUUUAAAUAUACUGUAGCACAGAUACGCACUUCAACUUUUUUAUGCAGUAUUUACCAGUGUAGAACUUUGAGAGUCGCUUGUAUGCUGGGCCUUUCCUGUGCCGUCCGAAUCCCCUCAAGACCAUUACAACAUUGUGAAAUUAGAGGACAGUGAUAGUAUGUGAAAGUAUAUAAGUAAUUAAUAUUCAGCUGUCUCAUAUCACUUGAACACAUUAAAAACACUUAUAAAACAUACCCCGCAUCAAUGCAGACCACAGAGUUGCAUGUGGGAGGAAGUCUUUUGCUAGGCCGGAGGUGAAUGUUGGGGCAUGGUAGAUGUUUGGUUCACCCUCUACAUCAAGGGGCACACUGCCAAAAAUGUCCUGAAAAAUGGAUUUUUAGUGCUGUGCUUCCCAGGUCAAUCUGAAAAACAAUAUUCACCAUUUUAGACAAUUGUAAUAUAAAUGUUUAUGU
Epinephelus lanceolatus (giant grouper) is the source of this 1123-nucleotide long non-coding RNA. RefSeq lists it as uncharacterized. The record is from RefSeq and is a predicted model, not a curated record. Lineage: Eukaryota; Metazoa; Chordata; Actinopteri; Perciformes; Serranidae.